CCUACGGGAGGCAGCAGUGGGGAAUAUUGCACAAUGGGGGAAACGCUGAUGCAGCGACGUCGCGUGAGUGAAGAAGUAUCUCGGUAUGUAAAGCCCUAUCAGCAGGGAAGAAAAUGACGGCACCUGAUUAACAAGCCCCGUCUAACUACGUGCCAGCAGCCGCGGUAAUAUGGAGGGGGCAAGCGUGAUCCGGAUUUACUGGGGGUUAAGGGAGCGUAGACGGCAGCACAAGUCUGGAGUGAAAUGCCGGGGCUUAACCCCGGAACUGCUUUGGAAACUGUGCAGCUAGAGUGCAGGAGAGGUAAGUGGAAUGCCUGGUGUAGCGGUGAAAUGCGUAGAUAUUAGGAAGAACUCCAGUGGCGAAGGCGGCUUACUGGACUGUAACUGACGUUGAGGCUCGAAAGCGUGGGGAGCGAACAGGAUUAGAUACCCUAGUAGUC
This 440-nucleotide ribosomal RNA is filed under the name uncultured bacterium. Its description in RNAcentral is "partial 16S ribosomal RNA". It matches the Rfam family "Bacterial small subunit ribosomal RNA", at positions 338 to 795 of the family's 1533-position model. The record is from RNAcentral.